This 253-nucleotide ribosomal RNA is filed under the name uncultured bacterium. Its description in RNAcentral is "partial 16S ribosomal RNA". It matches the Rfam family "Bacterial small subunit ribosomal RNA", at positions 524 to 776 of the family's 1533-position model. The record is from RNAcentral.
UACGGGGGGGGCAAGCGUUGUUCGGAAUUACUGGGCGUAAAGGGCUCGUAGGUGGCCAACUAAGUCGGACGUGAAAUCCCUCAGCUUAACUGGGGAACUGCGUCCGAUACUGGAUGGCUUGAGUUUGGGAGAGGGAUGCGGAAUUCCAGGUGUAGCGGUGAAAUGCGUAGAUAUCUGGAGGAACACCGGUGGCGAAGGCGGCAUCCUGGACCGAAACUGACACUGAGGCGCGAAAGCCAGGGGAGCAAACGGG